CUGUUUCAAAAAAACAAAAAAAAAGUUUCCUUUUCUCCCUAGCAGGCCCAGAAUCCGGCCAAACUCCAGCGUGGCAACUGUGCCGGCCGCCGAUCGUCUGCGCCGGCGCCGCCGUGCACUGCGGCGGGGAGUCAAAAAGCCUCUUUUUUUAACCCGUUUUAGAUCCCCUUCAAAAGCCAAACAUCUUUGACCCAAAAAGACGACUCUUGGCCCCCCCUUUAUCCUCUCGGAUCCGACGGCCACGAAGGAGGAGAGCCCUCCGACGGCAAACUCGAAAGGCGUUUCAGGUGAGCCCCCGCUCCCUUUUGUUUCUUAUUUAUUAUAUGUAAAAAAAAAAAGAAAACAAACAGAAAGAGCAAACAAAGGGAAAAAAAAACGAAUCUAAGAAAAAAACCUCUGUUUUGUAUUCUGUUUUUUCAAAUCUUUUUUCCUUCGUAUUUUCCCUUCUAUUUUCGUAUCUCUUUACACCGAAUUCCCCCUCUUUAUUUACAGAUUUCCUAAGGCUUUUAUAGCCCGAAAAAGAAAAACUAAAUCGAAUCUAUUUCGCUGUUUUUUCUUUUGGGACUCUUUAAGUCCGCAUUUUUGCAGGUGUGAGAGCACGUGGAAGUGACGGCUCCGAGACGUGCGGUGGCUGGAGGCCUUGCUGGAGGCGUUGGGCAGGCAUGCGGCGCUGAACCGAACAUGGGGCUAGGGUUUGGGUAAUUUGGGCUGUUAGGUGGGCUAGGUUUUGGACUAUUGGGCCUGGACGGCCCAUUUUUUGUUUGGUAAAUAGUCUGGGCCAAUUGGGCCUUAUUACAAAUAUAAUUUAAUACGAUAAACUUGAAUUGGUAAUUUACUUGUUUAAGUCCUUAAAAUU
This 856-nucleotide long non-coding RNA is filed under the name Gossypium barbadense (sea-island cotton). RNAcentral's name for it is "long non-coding RNA (GBAR_LNC020329)". The record is from RNAcentral. Lineage: Eukaryota; Viridiplantae; Streptophyta; Magnoliopsida; Malvales; Malvaceae.